RNAcentral lists this unclassified non-coding RNA (346 nucleotides) under Hevea brasiliensis (rubber tree). The record is from RNAcentral. Lineage: Eukaryota; Viridiplantae; Streptophyta; Magnoliopsida; Malpighiales; Euphorbiaceae.
UGGAAUUUGGAGAAACUUUGUGGUAAUAGAGAUCUAAUUUUCGAAAUUCAGGGCUUCUAUGAGGCUGUUGUGUAAUUUGAGCUCCUUAGGGUUUCAUGUGACGCCUGAAAGCUUUAUAUACGCAGUCUUGUUAAAGGGGUCCAAUGGACUUCCUGGAAUCUGAAUUUUAGGUUUCAGGAACGGUAUCGUGAGAUUUGAAUAUUCUAUUUGGGUAUUUGGUUCUAUAGCGUUCUCUCAAAAAACAAAAAUUGAAUUUGCAAAUUUAAGUUUGGGGCAAUUUGAAGGAGUGAAGUGUGCAACUCAAUUAAAUUUGAGAAUUUUUUGUGAAAAGUUUCUCGAUGGCGGU